Lactuca sativa (garden lettuce) is the source of this 1186-nucleotide non-coding RNA. The record is from RefSeq and is a predicted model, not a curated record. NCBI's taxonomy places the organism in Eukaryota, Viridiplantae, Streptophyta, Magnoliopsida, Asterales, Asteraceae.
GUUAGGGUUUACCUUCCAGAUUCUUCCGCUCCUCAGCUAUCUACUCUUUUCAUCCCUAUCCUCUUCUACUUCAUCUGCUUCGAAUCAACCGACCGCCAUUAUCUUACCUCCACAUCUUCUUUACUCUGAUCGGUGGCUUCCAACGACAUUUCGACAAAGGCUGUAUUUUCAUUUAUAGGAAAGUAGUGUGGUUGAGCAAUACUGAGAGGAUGAAAGGGUAUGCAGUUGAUUUCUUAUCGGUGUCGCUUCAUGCGGACUCAUUUUACUCAAGAUUGACACUGGAGAUGAGAACGAUGAAUCAGAAAGACAUGAUUCAGAAUCGAAUGAGGGAUUUCAUUUGUCAAAGAUCACAGAGAUGAGGCUCAUGCCUUCAGCUCCUACUCAAUUGGAUACUCUUUUUCAGAUAUUAUGUGAAUGUGCAGAGUUAAAUCCUGAACCCAUUGAAGUUAAGGAACAUCAUCUUUUUCUGGUUCCAGAGUAACACACGAUGACACGAACAACUUGUUUGUAGAAGGGAUGAAGAAUGAAGUAUCAGAGUACAAAUCCACAUAUGCUUACAUGAUUUCAAUCAUAUUUAAUCAUUUUUUUUCUUUAGGGAAUUUGAUUCACUUCAACUCUGAAAUUCCAAUUUUUUAGACUGAUUAAUUUUUUCAUAAUUUAGUGAAAUCAACCUUCACCAACGGUGAUGAUUAUUAUACCAAAUGUUUCAUUGGUUAAUUUCUGAAGAAAUAAUAACCAAUACGAGAUUGACACGUCUUUUAGGGCACGUGAAACUUGGACGACAAUAUGCGUUGUAACGUUGCUAAGACUGAUUUGAUAUUCCUCAGAGGGUAUGUUUCUUUCAUACAUCUUACAUCUGCCCCUGUUUCAUGACGAUAUGAAAGAACAGAGUUGUUGAAAAAAAAUCAUGAUUUCACCUUAUUUCUGGAAUUUCCAAGAUGGAGGACAGGAAAACAGACAACUGAAAAGCUACUGGUGUUGAUUUAGCUUGGAAAAUGGCCGAUGUUGUAUGGGCAAUUUCGGAAAACCACCGGUGAUACAAUGAAGAAAGUGGAUAUUCUUAACUUUUAUUGUAGCAAUAACAUCCUUUUUUGUACAACUAAAUACAACAUUAUACUUACAAAGAUUUUCUUUUUAAGGAAUUGAAAGUUAGGAACAGUACCUGACUGUUCCUCGGGUUACCAUA